Molecule: long non-coding RNA, 448 nt
Organism: Clarias gariepinus (North African catfish)
Lineage: Eukaryota; Metazoa; Chordata; Actinopteri; Siluriformes; Clariidae
Exons: 3
Source: RefSeq, a predicted model, not a curated record
CACAAACUCUUGCAGACAGGACAACUGGACUUUUGAGAGUAAAGCUGUUCCUGUUAUCAAACGCUCAAGAAGUUGUCCUUCCACCUCAUAAGGAACGUUGUGAACUCUCCAAAAAGGGCUUAGGAAUCCCAAGUCAUGAUUUGCCAGAGAGAUUCUCACUGAGAAACUACGUACAACUUUCUUGGUCCCUCCAAGAGUUUAAUAAUUAUGUAUGUCAAAGCUUUCCUAUAGUUAGUCUGAAUCUCAUUGGAUUUCAUUUGGCAAGAGCUGAUAAGUCCAAGGUCCUGAAAAAAAUUUAGGUAAAUACUCUCCUUGAGCUGAAGGCCGCAGUUGGGAGAAGCAGGGUUUAUAUUAUUCCCCAGACCAACAUUACACUGCCUUUAGAGAUCUCACAAACUGAAAGGACUCAACCCCCACCUGAAAGACUUCCACCAGCUGGUCCCGAGAC